Molecule: ribosomal RNA, 787 nt
Filed under: uncultured bacterium
Lineage: Bacteria
Description: bacterial SSU rRNA
Rfam family: Bacterial small subunit ribosomal RNA
Source: RNAcentral
AGAGUUUGAUCAUGGCUCAGGAUGAACGCUAGCGGCAGGCUUAACACAUGCAAGUCGAGGGGUAUAGUUCUUCGGAACUAGAGACCGGCGCACGGGUGCGUAACGCGUAUGCAAUCUACCUUUUACAGAGGGAUAGCCCAGAGAAAUUUGGAUUAAUACCUCAUAGUAUAAUGACUCGGCAUCGAGAUAUUAUUAAAGUCACAACGGUAAAAGAUGAGCAUGCGUCCCAUUAGCUAGUUGGUAAGGUAACGGCUUACCAAGGCUACGAUGGGUAGGGGUCCUGAGAGGGAGAUCCCCCACACUGGUACUGAGACACGGACCAGACUCCUACGGGAGGCAGCAGUGAGGAAUAUUGGACAAUGGGCGCAAGCCUGAUCCAGCCAUGCCGCGUGCAGGAUGACGGUCCUAUGGAUUGUAAACUGCUUUUAUACGAGAAGAAACACUGCUUCGUGACGCAGCUUGACGGUAUCGUAAGAAUAAGGAUCGGCUAACUCCGUGCCAGCAGCCGCGGUAAUACGGAGGAUCCAAGCGUUAUCCGGAAUCAUUGGGUUUAAAGGGUCCGUAGGCGGUUUAAUAAGUCAGUGGUGAAAGCCCAUCGCUCAACGGUGGAACGGCCAUUGAUACUGUUAAACUUGAAUUAUUAGGAAGUAACUAGAAUAUGUAGUGUAGCGGUGAAAUGCUUAGAGAUUACAUGGAAUACCAAUUGCGAAGGCAGGUUACUACUAAUGGAUUGACGCUGAUGGACGAAAGCGUGGGUAGCGAACAGGAUUAGAUACCCUAGUAGUCC